This 426-nucleotide ribosomal RNA is filed under the name uncultured bacterium. RNAcentral describes it as "bacterial SSU rRNA". It matches the Rfam family "Bacterial small subunit ribosomal RNA", at positions 356 to 774 of the family's 1533-position model. The record is from RNAcentral.
CGAAAAUCUUUCGCAAUGGGCGAAAGCCUGACGAAGCGACGCCGUGUGAACGAAGAAGGCCUUAGGGUUGUAAAGUUCUUUCGCUGGGGAACAAGAGAGACUGGCUAACAUCCAGUUAAUUUGAUGGUACUCGGUAAAGAAGCACCGGCUAACUCCGUGCCAGCAGCUGCGGUAAUACGGAGGGUGCAAGCAUUGAUCGGAAUUAUUGGGCGGAAAGGGCGCGUAGGCGGCUAGAUAAGUCAGAUGUGAAAUUCCGGGGCUCAACCCCGGGGCCGCAUUUGAAACUGUCCAGCUAGAGUAUAGUUAGGGAAAACGGAAUUCCACGUGUAGCGGUGAAAUGCGUAGAUAUGUGGAAGAACACCGGUGGUGAAGACGGUUUUCUAGGCGAAAACUGACGCUGAGGCGCGAAAGCUAGGGGAGCAAACA